Molecule: ribosomal RNA, 460 nt
Filed under: uncultured bacterium
Lineage: Bacteria
Description: partial 16S ribosomal RNA
Rfam family: Bacterial small subunit ribosomal RNA
Source: RNAcentral
CCUACGGUUGGCAGCAGUGAGGAAUAUUGGUCAAUGGACGAGAGUCUGAACCAGCCAAGUAGCGUGAAGGAUGACUGCCCUAUGGGUUGUAAACUUCUUUUAUAUGGGAAUAAAAUGUUCCACGUGUGGGAUUUGGUCUGUACCAUAUGAAUAAGGAUCGGCUAAAGCCGUGCCAGCAGCCGCGGUAAUACGGAGGAUCCGAGCGUUAUCCGGAUUUAUUGGGUUUAAAGGGAGCGUAGGUGGAUUUGUAAGUCAGAUGUGAAAGUUUGCGGCUUAACCGUAAAAUUGCAGUUGAAACUGGCAGUCUUGAGUACGGGAGAGGUAGGCGGAAUUCGUGGUGUAGCGGUGAAAUGCUUAGAUAUCACGAAGAACUCCGAUUGCGAAGGCAGCUCACUGGACUGCAACUGACACUGAGGCUCGAAAGUGUGGGUAUCAAACAGGAUUAGAUACCCUGGUAGUC